RNAcentral lists this ribosomal RNA (497 nucleotides) under uncultured bacterium. Its description in RNAcentral is "partial 16S ribosomal RNA". It matches the Rfam family "Bacterial small subunit ribosomal RNA", at positions 28 to 507 of the family's 1533-position model. The record is from RNAcentral.
GAUGAACGCUGGCGGCGUGCCUAAUACAUGCAAGUCGAGCGAACAGACGAGGAGCUUGCUCCUCUGACGUUAGCGGCGGACGGGUGAGUAACACGUGGAUAGCCUACCUAUAAUACUGGGAUAACUUCGGGAAACCGGAGCUAAUACCGGAUAAUAUAUUGAACCGCAUGGUUCAAUAGUGAAAGACGGUUUUGCUGUCACUUAUAGAUGGUUCCGCGCCGCAUUAGCUAGUUGGUAAGGUAACGGCUUACCAAGGCGACGAUGCGUAGCCGACCUGAGAGGGUGAUCGGCCACACUGGAACUGAGACACGGUCCAGACUCCUACGGGAGGCAGCAGUAGGGAAUCUUCCGCAAUGGGCGCAAGCCUGACGGAGCAACGCCGCGUGAGUGAUGAAGGUCUUCGGAUCGUAAAACUCUGUUAUUAGGGAAGAACAAAUGUGUAAGUAACUAUGCACGUCUUGACGGUACCUAAUCAGAAAGCCACGGCUAACUACGUG